RNAcentral lists this ribosomal RNA (255 nucleotides) under uncultured bacterium. Its description in RNAcentral is "partial 16S ribosomal RNA". It matches the Rfam family "Bacterial small subunit ribosomal RNA", at positions 524 to 776 of the family's 1533-position model. The record is from RNAcentral.
UACGAAGGGGGCUAGCGUUGUUCGGAAUUACUGGGCGUAAAGCGCACGUAGGCGGAUAUUUAAGUCAGGGGGUGAAAUCCCCAGAGCUCAACUCUGGAACUGCCUUUGAUACUGGGUAUCUGGAGUAUGGAAGAGGUGAGUGGAAUUCCGAGUGUAGAGGUGAAAUUCGUAGAUAUUCGGAGGAACACCAGUGGCGAAGGCGGCGAGCUGGUCCAUUACUGACGCUGAGGCGCGACAGCGUGGGGAGCAAACAGG